AGCUCCAAUAGCGUAUAUUAAAGUUGUUGCAGUUAAAAAGCUCGUAGUUGGAUUUCUGAGCGUGUGCGCCUGCCCCACUGGGGUAACCCAGCGAGUGGCGGUGUGCGCCGUUCAUAUGAGGUGAAUCUCCAUUGCCGGUCAAACGGUGAUGGCUGACCCCUCGCUAUACUUUGAAAAAAUUAGAGUGUUUAAAGCAGGCUUGCGCUAUGAAUACAUUAGCAUGGAAUAUUAAUUUAGGACUUUGUUUCUAUUU
This 253-nucleotide ribosomal RNA is filed under the name uncultured Sarcomonadea. RNAcentral's name for it is "partial small subunit ribosomal RNA". It matches the Rfam family "Eukaryotic small subunit ribosomal RNA", at positions 587 to 841 of the family's 1831-position model. The record is from RNAcentral. Lineage: Eukaryota; Cercozoa.